UGGGGAAUCUUGGACAAUGGGCGCAAGCCUGAUCCAGCCAUGCCGCGUGGAUGAUGAAGGCCUUAGGGUUGUAAAAUCCUUUCGCCGAGGACGAUAAUGACGGUACUCGGAGAAGCAGCACCGGCUAACUCCGUGCCAGCAGCCGCGGUAAUACGGGGGGUGCAAGCGUUAAUCGGAAUUAUUGGGCGUAAAGGGUGCGUAGGUUGUUUGAUAAGAUAUAUGUGAAAUCCCCGGGCUCAACCUGGGAACUGCAUUUGUGACUGCAUGGCUAGAGUACGGUAGAGGGGGAUGGAAUUCCGCGUGUAGCAGUGAAAUGCGUAGAUAUGCGGAGGAACACCGAUGGCGAAGGCAAUCCCCUGGACCUGUACUGACGCUCAUGCACGAAAGCGUGGGGAGCAAACAGGAUUAGAUACCCCCGUAGUCCCUGAGCGGGCUGGCAAGGCGCAU
Molecule: ribosomal RNA, 447 nt
Filed under: uncultured bacterium
Lineage: Bacteria
Description: bacterial SSU rRNA
Rfam family: Bacterial small subunit ribosomal RNA
Source: RNAcentral